Molecule: unclassified non-coding RNA, 449 nt
Filed under: Cutaneotrichosporon jirovecii
Lineage: Eukaryota; Fungi; Basidiomycota; Tremellomycetes; Trichosporonales; Trichosporonaceae
Source: RNAcentral
AAUAGAACGGAGUGCUGUAAGCAGUAGAGUAGCCUUGUUGCUACGAUCUGCUGAGGCUCAGCUCUUGUUCUACAGAUUUGUGCUUUUGCACUCUCUCCGGUUGUGACGGAGUGGGGCAGUCAUACUGUCCUGCUUGGUGACUAUCGUAGACAGUGACUAUAGAGCAUAAGUUGGUAGGAGGAAGGCGAGUUCAGAGAGGCGAAGGUGAACUUGGCUGCGACUUGGUAGUUUUUCUCGAGUUGGGCUCGUGCGUGGGCUCGGGCCUUGCACUAACCGAAGAACCUGAAAGUUGAAAGUAGAUAUAAGAGGCAUGUGAGUCUAUUGGGCGCUUGAGGAUCCCUUCAGGUGUCCGAUGUUGGGCUUAGAGGUCCGGGCGCGCGCAGUUUAAGAGGGGAUGAAAGACAUACUAGUAUCUACGGCCAUAGGACUGAGAAAAUACCGCAUCCCGU